This 141-nucleotide unclassified non-coding RNA is filed under the name uncultured Devriesia. RNAcentral describes it as "sequence contains ITS2". The record is from RNAcentral. Lineage: Eukaryota; Fungi; Ascomycota; Dothideomycetes; Mycosphaerellales; Teratosphaeriaceae.
ACCCCCAUCAAGCCUGGCUUGGUAUUGGGCGACGGGACCUCCCCGCGCCCCGAUUUCGCCGGCUGGACGACUCCGAUCUCUCAAGCGUUGUACAAUCUCGCUAGCAAGACGGGUGGCCACGCCGUUAAAUCUCAAUCAAUA